CCCGACUGCUAUUUGGGUGAGGAUAAGCCAUGCGAGUUGAAUGGGAAACCUAAAAAUCCCAUGGCAAACUGCUCAGUAACACAUGAUCAACUUACCCUAUAGAGGAAAAUAACCUCGGGAAACUGAGGAUAAUGUUCCAUAGUUGAAUUGGCUUGGAAAAGUUUUUCAAUAAAAGGGAUAAGGAAAAUGGUUCUUAUCUGCUAUAGGAUAGGAUCGUGCUCGAUUAUGGUUGUUGGUGAGGUAAAGGCUCACCAAGCCGAUAAUCGAUAGGGGCCGUGAGAGCGGGAGCCCCGAGAUGGGUACUGAGACAACGACCCAGGCCUUACGGGGCGCAGCAGGCGCGAAACCUCCGCAAUACACGAAAGUGUGACGGGGUUACCCAAAGUGUUCUAUUUAGAACUGUGGUAGGUGAGUAAUGUUCCCUACUAGAAAGGAGAGGGCAAGGCUGGUGCCAGCCGCCGCGGUAAAACCAGCUCUUCAAGUGGUCGGGAUAAUUAUUGGGCUUAAAGUGUCCGUAGCCGGUUUAGUAAGUUCCUGGUAAAAUCGGGUAGCUUAACUAUCUAUAUGCUAGGAAUACUGCUAUACUAGAGGGCGGGAGAGGUCUGAGGUACUACAGGGGUAGGGGUGAAAUCUUAUAAUCCUUGUAGGACCACCAGUGGCGAAGGCGUCAGACUGGAACGCGCCUGACGGUGAGGGACGAAAGCCAGGGGAGCGAACCGGAUUAGAUACCCGGGUAGUCCUGGCCGUAAACGAUGCAUACUAGGUGAUGGCACGGCCACGAGCCGUGUCAGUGCCGUAGGGAAACCGUUAAGUGUGCCGCCUGGGAAGUACGGUCGCAAGGCUAAAACUUAAAGGAAUUGGCGGGGGAGCACCACAAGGGGUGAAGCCUGCGGUUC
Molecule: ribosomal RNA, 896 nt
Filed under: uncultured archaeon
Lineage: Archaea
Description: bacterial SSU rRNA
Rfam family: Archaeal small subunit ribosomal RNA
Source: RNAcentral